AGUGAACGCUGGCGGUAGGCCUAACACAUGCAAGUCGAACGGCAGCACAGUAAGAGCUUGCUCUUACGGGUGGCGAGUGGCGGACGGGUGAGGAAUACAUCGGAAUCUGCUUUUUCGUGGGGGAUAACGUAGGGAAACUUACGCUAAUACCGCAUACGACCUACGGGUGAAAGCAGGGGAUCUUCGGACCUUGCGCGAUUGAAUGAGCCGAUGUUGGAUUAGCUAGUUGGCGGGGUAAAGGCCCACCAAGGCGACGAUCCGUAGCUGGUCUGAGAGGAUGAUCAGCCGCACUGGAGCUGAGACACGGUCCAGACUCCUACGGGAGGCAGCAGUGGGGAAUAUUGGACAAUGGGCGCAAGCCUGAUCCAGCCAUACCGCGUGGGUGAAGAAGGCCUUCGGGUUGUAAAGCCCUUUUGUUGGGAAAGAAAAGCAGCAGGUUAAUACCCCGCUGUUCUGACGGUACCCAAAGAAUAAGCACCGGCUAACUUCGUG
This 492-nucleotide ribosomal RNA is filed under the name uncultured bacterium. Its description in RNAcentral is "partial 16S ribosomal RNA". It matches the Rfam family "Bacterial small subunit ribosomal RNA", at positions 29 to 507 of the family's 1533-position model. The record is from RNAcentral.